UUUUUUUUUUCUUUUUUGUUUUUGCUUCUUUGUUUCUAUUAACCCAGGGAACCAAAAUGAUCAUCACAAAAUUGACCUGAGGAAUUUAUACUUUUCUUCUUCCCUCCUUUGAGUCUGGGUCUCUCUUCUCCUCCCUCCAGAUUUCAAAUUGGCUCCAGAUUUUAUAUGAGAAGCAGUAACAGAUCUAAAAGAAACAAACUGAGAAGGAAUUUAAGGAGCAAACUAACUGAUGAACUCUAAUCUGCUCGCUACAGGUUUGAGUGAAAAAUCCAUGCUAUGCUCAAGAAGAAUUCAGCCAUUCACAGAGGAGGUCAGGUCAGGCUGAUGUCUAUAUUUGGCAUCUCAAAAAAAAAAAAAAAAUUACAUCAUUUAUACAUUCAACAUUUAGGGAACACUUUACCAAGAGUCUGGCUAGUUGUUACAGAUUAUCGAGUUGAAUAAAACAAGGCUUUUUCUGCCUCCAAGAUUCAAUUAGGUAACUGCCAACACCACCGCUCAUAUAUUUUCACACACCUGUCUUCUCACUGAAUCUGUAAUUUUUACUUAGGGCAAGAACAGUAUUCAUUUACAUAUGCUUAGUAAACACUAGCUGAUGAUUUACUAAAGGCUCCUGUGCUUUAUGAGUUCAUGGUGAAACAAAAGAGUUGAGCAUAUAAAUAGCAAAUUAAGAUUACAGGGUAAUACUGCUGCUACAGAGAAAAGAGCCAAAGCAUGGGGCCACAAAGGAAGCCUGCUGAGGCAGGGGUAGGCGUAACCGCAGAUGUGACACUGAAAUAAGAGUUGAAAGAUAAGGAGAACUCUAUCAGUGGAGGAAAAGUGAUAGUAGAGGGAAUUUCCUGCAGAGAAAACAGCAUGUACAAAAAUAACUAAUAGCUAAUAAUUAUCAAGGACUUUUUGGGAGUUCCCAUCGUGGCGCAGAGAAACGAAUCCGACUAGUAACCAUGAGGCUGCAGGUUUGAUCCCUGGCCUUGUUCAGUGGUUAAGGAUCUGGAGUUGCCAUGAGGUCGAAUAUGCGGCUCGGAUCCUGCAUUGCUGUGGCUGUGGUGUAGGCCGGCAGCUGUAGCUCCAAUCAACCCCUAGCCUGGGAACCUCCAUAUGCCAUGGGUGUGGCCUGAAAAAGCAUUAAAAAAAAAAAAAAAGAAUUAUAUGAAACAGGUUGAGAAUAUAUUAAGGAUUAAUUCAAUCAUAGUUAUUAUAUUUCAGAAAAGAAAUAGCAUAUAUGGAAUGCCUAUGCCAUAAAAUAAUUUUCAUAUAUUAUUUCAUCUCUACAGCAACCCGGUAGAGUAUAAAAACCCUAUGAUGCUAUCACUUUAAUCUUACAUUGAGGAAAAUGAGACUCAGAGGCAUUUAAGUAACUUGUCCAAGGUCACACAGGUAGCACUUAGCAGAGCCUGCUUUCAGACCAAGGUCUUUCUGAGUCCAAAGCCUCAGUCUCUGUUCUUUGCAGUUUACCUGCCUGCACCCCAGAUAAGUUCCAGUGUAGAAAAAAUAAGGAGGAAUCAGAUAUGCCCCAAAUGUCUGAGGUCAGUGUGAGGGACUAGAAAGGAAAGAUUGGAUCACAUUCACAUGUAGCUUGGGAUGUGUAUGAAAAAUGUUUGGAACAUGUGCAAGAUGAGGCAGGGGAGAAACCAAAAGGGAAGAAGACAGCCAACAGCAAAUGUCAUGCUCCUCAACUUCUCUUUCAGCUAAUAACACAAUAAUAGUAGAGAUGACUCAUAAUCAUAUUUCAGUCCUUGUGCUAGGAGUCUCCAAGGUAAAAAUCCCAUAUUGUAAUACCAGUGUGUUGUUUCCUCUUGAUCUUACUACCAUUAUGUCCCAGAAAAUGUUCCAAAACCUAACAGAGGAAGUUCAGAAAAAUCACAGGAAAUAUCUAACCUCCUUUAUUCUAAGAAAUGGAAACAAACUCUUCAAGGUUAGUUCUUAUGUGCAUCAUUAGCAUCAAGGCAUGUUGGAAGAGGAUUCAGGUAACUAAUAAAGCAUAGAUGGCUUCAAAUCACCCUACAGAAAAACAAAAGCUCUUUCACAAUAACAUAACAAAAAAACUUGAUUUCUGGUGUUUUCCUCUGUCACACAGCUCCCCUAAACUUGGAACAAAUAGGCCUUUGCAUUCUCCAGUCAAUGCCCAGGAAACUUUCAUACUGUAAAUGUUUUGAGUCAUGCAGUCAGCAGUCAGGUUAGGCACAAGUAGAAAUGGCAGCACAGAAAACCAAACCAAACAAACAAACAAAACUCUCCUUGGAAUAAAAAGUUCUCAAGUGAGGCACCAUACCAAGUUCUCCCACCUGAUGCCACAAGGCUGUGAACCCAGAAAGAUGCAUAGUCCAGGCUUAGAACGCAAACUUGGAGAAAGAAAACAAAGAAGGGGUGGCUCAGCAGACUCUGAUAGGGAGUGAAAUAAUCCUGCCUGUUUAAAUUUAUAAGGACAGUUUGAAAUUCUCUACUAAUACAUCCAUCCUCUUGUGAACUUUUCCGAAGUAGAACUAAUGGCAUAGAAGUUAGCAGAUCUCACAGAAAACUCAUUCCUAAGGGACUACCUGUAAACUCAGAAGUUUCUGUCUUCACGUGAUCAAAUGCUCAGCAGAACCCCCUCUUGCUCACUCACCGGCACUCAAAGUGCUUUACCCCUCAGCACCAAAACCCCCUGUGCCCAGCCUUUCCUCUUCUCUUCUUGGCCCCAGAAAGGCCUCAGGCAAUAGAGCUGCGGGACCCGGGGGAGCACCCCUCCCCUCCCUGCCAUCCCCAUUAUUCGGCACACAGCCCUGUUCUCCCCUGGAGCCAACAGUCUGCAGCUCCUUCAAUGCAGGCGCGAGCAGGCAAGAAUAGUGGGAAGAGAAGCUGUGCCAGCUGCAUGUUUCAGAAUCUCCCUCCAUAUGCAUUUGCCAAAGGAACAAAAAGAAAAUCAACGCCAGGAAGACAACUGAGAUGAGGAUGCGGUGGGACCGCGGCUGACUCCGUGCCUCUUAGCAGCAAGAGGCUGGCCAACCACGCGUCCGAGCCAUAGAUGCGAGUGGUUACCUUCAGGAUGCAGGCCAUGGCGCUCCGCCGGCCCUCCUGCCACCAAGCAGCCGGCGCGCCUGGGUCAGGGGCAGUCCCGGCGGCAGGCUGGAGGCUGGUACCGCUGCAGGACCGCUCCAACCCACAU
RNAcentral lists this long non-coding RNA (3142 nucleotides) under Sus scrofa (pig). RNAcentral's name for it is "lncRNA (ENSSSCG00050047461.1)". The record is from RNAcentral. Lineage: Eukaryota; Metazoa; Chordata; Mammalia; Artiodactyla; Suidae.